Molecule: long non-coding RNA, 1248 nt
Filed under: Oreochromis niloticus (Nile tilapia)
Lineage: Eukaryota; Metazoa; Chordata; Actinopteri; Cichliformes; Cichlidae
Description: lncRNA (ENSONIG00000030044.1)
Source: RNAcentral
AUGAAAGUCUCAGCCACCCUCUCCAGUGUGAAAGUCCCUCCGUCUAACCUUACACUACAAGAAAAGAAGGCCGUCGCUUCCCUGAGCAAAGACCACAACAUCACUAUAUUACCAGCAGAUAAGGGAAGGUGCACCGUGGUCCUAAACACAACAGAUUACCACACAAAGAUCACUACUCUCCUCAGUGACAACAACACCUACGAAGCUUUAAAACGAGACCCCACAAGCAGCUACAAAAAGAAAGUUAUAGCUUGCCUUCAAGACCUUGAAAAGGACAAAAUCAUUGACCGCCUCACAUAUCACCGUCUUUAUCCAGGGGAUGCCAUACCCUGCAUUUAUGGACUUCCUAAAAUCCACAAGGAAGGGGUCCCACUCAGACCCAUAGUCAGUAGCAUAAACUCAGCCACUUAUAACAUUGCGAAACACCUUGCUACCAUCCUUGCACCUCUUGUGGGGAACACCCCACACCACAUCAAGAACUCCACUGACUUCACCGACAAGGUCCAGAAACUUACCCUGGAUUCAGAUGAAACCAUGGUGUCCUUUAAUGUAGUCUCUCUCUUCACUUGCAUACCCACCACGGAAGCAGUGGAGACUGUCAGAAAACGACUACAAGAAGACAGCUCCUUGGAAGACAGGACCAACUUCACACCCGAUCAGAUCUGCACACUGUUAGACCUCUGCCUCACCACAACAUACUUCAAAUACAACGAAGGCUUCUACAGACAAAAACAUGGCUGUGCCAUGGGCUCCCCUGUGUCACCUAUUGUAGCCAACCUUUACAUGGAGGAAGUGGAAAGAAAGGCUCUUGGCUCUUUUAAAGGGAGAGUACCCAGCCACUGGUACAGAUAUGUAGACGACACCUGGGUCAAAAUCAAGACACAAGAAGUGGAAUCCUUCACUGCGCACAUUAACGCCGUGGAUAAAAACAUCAAGUUCACCAGGGAAGACACAAAGGACAACUGUUUGCCUUUCCUGGACUGCGCUGUGCACAUUGAAGAGAAUGGCAUCCUCAACAUUGAAGUUUACCGGAAGCCCACACACACGGACCAGUACCUCCUCUUUGACUCCCAUCACCCUCUGGAACACAAACUUGGAGUAAUUAGGACCCUACACCACCGGGCAGAACAUGUUCCCUCUAAGCCUGAGGGAAAAAAGAAGGAACACACACAUGUAAAGGAAGCACUCAAAACAUGUGGUUAUCCUAACUGGGCGUUCAUAAAGUGUCGGGGGAAAUCUCCCAAAUAG